Non-coding RNA from Callithrix jacchus (white-tufted-ear marmoset), 651 nucleotides. Lineage: Eukaryota; Metazoa; Chordata; Mammalia; Primates; Cebidae. The record is from RefSeq and is a predicted model, not a curated record.
GUAACCACAUCAAGCAAGCUGCAAAACAUCACUUAAACUGGAGCUCUGACUUAUUGUUCUCUUACUGCCCUAGAGCAAUUUUGUUUUGAAGAGCACAGAACACCCUGUUCUGAAUGUGGCUGGCACAUGAACUGGAUGUGCUGACAGCAAUUUGUACUUCGAUUAAAAUAGGAGGGGGAGAAAGGAAAGAGAGUGCAUAGCAGUAACAAAAAUGAAAUGCAAGAACCCCUAAACCAUGCAAUUUGUAUUUUAGGAAGCAAAACUGAGAAAGCCUCCAUAACUUAAAAGAAAAAAAAAGGUGCUGUAAAUGCUCCAGCCUAAAGACGUUAGCUCUGUCUUGCUAUGUUGCCUAGGCUGGAGUGCGGUGGUGCGAUCUCGGCUUACUGCAACCUCCACUUACUGCAACCUUCACCUCCUGUGUUCAAGUGAUUCCCGUGCCUCAGUCUCCCGGGUAGCUGGGCCUACAGGUAUGCACCUGCAUUAACCACGACCAGUUAAUUUUUGUGUUUUCAGUAGAGACGAGUUUUGCUAUGUUGGCCAGGCUGCCCUUUAACUCCUGACCUCAAGUGAUCCUCCUGCCGUGGCCUCCCAAAGUGUUGGGAUUACAGGCGUGAGCCACCGUGCCCAGCAUUUUUUUUUUGAGUUGAGGGU